GGAAAAUCCGAAAAGAGCGCAAGAAAAACCCCAUUCCCGCGCUUUCUCAUACCCUAAUCCAUCCCAAUUUGGGGGAAGAUUUCAGAAAAAGCUCACUCCACUCGAUUUUUCCCCAAAAAUCCUUAGCAACGAGACCGAUCAUCUGUCGAGGAAGUCGCUGCCGGAGAAGGAAGAUAGGAAAUGGCGAAGACGAAGCCGUUUCAGGGGGGCGACCGUGUUUGUGCCGAGGAACUUGAGUGCCUCCCGAGCUGUUCGACGCGCUCAAGCUGAACGGAGCUGAGGCCUUCCUCCGCCGCGACCCUUCCAGGAGUGGGCCCCGCGAUUUUCACGCUGUUUCUUCUCUCCGAUCACGUGAGUACGUUGGGAUUGGGCGGCGCUAACGGCUUUUGGGUUCAUUUUGAGAAUUGGGUUUGAGGUUGUUUUACGUCUUGAGAAGUUCGAGGAUCUUCAGGCGAAAGGGUUGUGAGCUAGUCGGUCUGCAGUGUGUGGUGGUUUCGCGUGCGAAAGAACGGAGACCUCUACCGCAAAAAGGGUAUGCUUGUUUGUCUUGCUAUGGAUGGUGUCGAAGUCCUUGCAUCUGGAUUUGAGACGGAUGAGGAGACAUGCUUUUGUCUGAACAAAUAUGGUGGCAGCCUGUCGUCUCUCUUAUUGUUUCACCAUUUCCGUGAGUCUGCAGGCUGAGAUUGAGAAAUUGGUUACUUCAAUGUGGGGAGCUCUACAGACCAAAACUUCAGCAGAUGUUAGCUUCGUAAUUGCGAAGAAUAUUUUGGCUGCAAAAUACAGGGUUUAGGUCUUGGAGUUAAAAAUUUGAAUUUAGUUUAAGAGUAGCGAAUUUGUUGUAUCUUGUUAAAGGUUAAAUUCACUUUAAAUGAGAUUCAUUAUGCUCUUUCACUGAGUAUGGGAAGCAUCAUGGGUAGUACUCUGAUUGAGUUGGCUGAACUUAGGAAGAGUUUCCUCCAUAUUUUUUUUUGGAUAUUCUAUGAGCAAAUUCUUUUAUGAAUCCCAUCUUGAGAGAUAAAUUGUAUUUAUCAAUUAAUGUUGUCAUCGUACAGUGGGCUUUAAAUGUUCUGAAGUGACCUGUUGUCACCAUUAAUUGGUUAUACCAAUGCCGUAUUGAGCACCGUGUUGUACCUCAAGAGUCUUAUAGAGUUCUUCCAUUUUCUGGAUUGACAAUGAAUGUCACAGGAAUUCCUGCAGGUACUGAUUGUUUGAUAUAGCCGCUGCUGUUGGUUGUCCUCCAGUUCUUCAAUUUUUAUGUCCUUCAUGAUCUCAGACACACGGAAGGAGAUUCAGAAGCAUAUUACAGAAAAUGGUGGGAGAUAUUCUGCAGAAUUGACCAGGAAGUGCACUCAUUUAAUUGCAGAAAUAUCCUUUUCUUCUUCAAGAUUAAGGUCCAGUGAUUUGCUUGCAUAUAUUCCUUUUGAUAUUUGAUCACCGUGUCAAAAUGCACAUAUCUUUAUCUUGUCUUCGCAUAUGAAAACACUUUAAGAGUUUGAAAAGAAGAUCUGUAUCAUUUCAAGGUUUAGUGACGAUUAUAGUUUGAAAUAGGAAAUAGCUAUGCUUGAUUUAAUCCUGGUUUUUGGUAAUAUCCUUUUACUUGGGAAUUUGAUUAUGAUGAGAAACAGUGAAACUUCUCGGCAUGACAAUAUCAUUGACUUUGACUUCUAAAUCAGUCCUAAAGAAUUGUGUUCUGUGGUUCAAGGAAACAAGGUGUUAAACAACGUACGAUUUGAACCACUAAUUGUUAAAAGAUCCUCAGCCAGUUCUCGCUUUUGCAGUGUGAGUUAGGACUGCCUGUUGGUUGCUCAAAGCACAUUGCUCAGCAAUGUUAUUACCAUUGAAUCUUUCUAUUGGCCUCAUUUAUGAGGCUCUGUAGCACUGUGAGUCCCACUACGAUGCACUUGACUGGCUGUAAGCUCCAGAAGAUAAAUACAAGGUUGCUAAAAGAUGGGGUCACAUUCAUAUUUUGAAUCGCAAAUGGUUUGAUCAAUCAACUUCCAGGAAAGGUGAUAUUUCAGUUACUAAAAUACCUUGUUGCUGUCAACUGCAGGAACAUUUAUGUUCUUUUUGAGCCAUCUUGUUGUCUGCCUCUAAUUAUGAGUGCUUUUGCUGACUAGCAUGUCUUAAUGAGGAGUCUUAUCCUGUUCAGGGUAGUUCCAUGUCUUUAGUGAAAAUUGCAAGUAGUCAGCAAAAUCUGUACAGAGUUAUUAGAAGUUCAGAGUCUCUCCCCUCUUCAAUGGUUGGAGAUCAGGACUUCCAUUCCAUUUCAGCUACUGACCAUGCCGAUCCAGAUUUAGAAACUACUCUCUCACAGAAAGUGUCUUCAAUGUUUGUGGAUCUCCAUUUCCUUGCAAAAGAGGAUAAUAGUGAUGUGGCAGCUGUGCAAUCCAAUGGUGAAGUGAAUCAUGAUGGUUGGGUUUCUGAAGACUCUGAAAAUGAAGACAAUGACCUGUAUUUGUCAGAAUGUAGGUUAACAUCAUCAAAUGCUCGAUUUCCCCAAGAGUGUUCCUAAAAGAAGUGAUCUGCAACUACCAUUCAAAGUUGGCUUGAAGAUACAAAACUUGGUGAUCUGAUUUUGAAGGCAGUGGAGCCUUAAAUGUUUCUGCUUGACCCGUAUGAUGACUGACUAAAGAGUA
Molecule: RNA transcript, 2636 nt
Organism: Eucalyptus grandis
Lineage: Eukaryota; Viridiplantae; Streptophyta; Magnoliopsida; Myrtales; Myrtaceae
Exons: 4
Source: RefSeq, a predicted model, not a curated record